Long non-coding RNA from Eupeodes corollae, 1212 nucleotides. RefSeq lists it as uncharacterized. The record is from RefSeq and is a predicted model, not a curated record. The transcript is spliced from 4 exons. Lineage: Eukaryota; Metazoa; Arthropoda; Insecta; Diptera; Syrphidae.
AGAAAUAAGUUAAAUCCGCAUUUUUACAUUAAUGUCAUUUCUCUUAAGGUUCUUAAUUGUACACAAAACCAUUUUUAUUAUUAUUACAUACUUAAUUUGUUUUGAGUAGUGUAAUUUUUGUAUGAUCAAGUCUAAUGGUGUCCCAUAUGUUUGUGGCGUGUGGUGAUGGCGGCAGCUCGAUCGUCGUCGUCGGCGACAUCGACAUGGCUUGAAGCGGCCGGCGGCGUGACUUGUCGUUGUAUUCCUUAAGCUUGCCGUUUUAAUGUUUUGAGUUUUUUUUCUUUUUUUGCGCACGCCCGUGUUGCUUGUUCUAUAUCUAUUAUGAUGGAGAGACUCCACACUUUUAUCGUGCUGUGGAUAUGACGGCUUGGCGACGACAACGUCAACGACGACGGCAAAAAAUGACACAAGGCGACUUUCAGCGCGGCGGCGGCGUAGUGACUAUGACCACCACCGCUGUUGUUGCUGUCGCUGCAGUGCACAGUGUUGGCGGCGGCGUUUUUCUAUUUGAAAUUAAAAACUCAAACAAUUUGUUUCGCGAGCCGCCCGAUGACAUUCAUUUUUUAUUUGCUUUUUAUUUUGUAUGCCCCCAAUCCCGCAAAGUGAGUUAAGUGUAUUAAAAAAGUGCUCGAGUUCGCUUUGCUGCCGCUGCGUUGUGCUGCAGGGACAUAUUUAAUAAUAUUGACAAGAAGCAAUAGGUUUGCCCACUGCAUUGGAUUGGAUUGGACAGCGGUGACAGUGGAUAGAGAGUGAACGUGGACAAUCGCUCAGGUCUCAGGAAUGUCUCCAUAAAAAGUGGGACGUCACGUCAUAUGGAACACACCUCCUAUCGGUGCUCCGUUGUAACAGAAAAAGAAACAGCAACAGCAGGAAGUCAUGUACACGUGGUAUGUUGCCGUAACCGUAACGUAUAGAGUCAGAGAGUGUAUAGUACUUAUGUUGCCGCUUUGGAAGCCAUCAGCAGAGGUCACUAUUGAUUGCUGUAGAAAUGUCAAAGUAGAAAAGAGUAACGAGAACUUAUUUUUUCACUUUGAACAAGAGGAUUCCUGGAUGAUGAUGGUGUAAAUUUUCAGUUGCAGUUUUGUUUUGUCACUUUUAUGUAGAUAUUUUUUGGAAAUUUAAUGAAGCUGUUAGGCUUUGAAUAUGACUUUUUCCUUUGAUCCUUAAGCAUUUUUAAUCAUUUUCAAAAAUAAAAAGUAAAGACAACAUAGA